UUUAUGGAGAGUUUGAUCCUGGCUCAGGAUGAACGCUGGCGGCGUGCCUAAUACAUGCAAGUCGAGCGAACAGACGAGGAGCUUGCUCCUU
This 91-nucleotide ribosomal RNA is filed under the name Staphylococcus hominis. Its description in RNAcentral is "partial 16S ribosomal RNA". It matches the Rfam family "Bacterial small subunit ribosomal RNA", at positions 1 to 88 of the family's 1533-position model. Lineage: Bacteria; Bacillati; Bacillota; Bacilli; Caryophanales; Staphylococcaceae. The record is from RNAcentral.